RNAcentral lists this ribosomal RNA (329 nucleotides) under uncultured eukaryote. RNAcentral's name for it is "partial 18S ribosomal RNA". It matches the Rfam family "Eukaryotic small subunit ribosomal RNA", at positions 1470 to 1796 of the family's 1831-position model. The record is from RNAcentral.
CCCUUAGAUGUUCUGGGCCGCACGCGCGCUACACUGAUGCAUUCAACGAGUCUAAAACCUGCUCUGAUAGGGGUGGGUAAUCUUUUGAAUGCGCAUCGUGAUUGGGAUAGAUGAUUGCAAUUUUUCAUCUUCAACGAGGAAUGCCUAGUAAACGCAAGUCAUCAGCUUGCAUUGAUUACGUCCCUGCCCUUUGUACACACCGCCCGUCGCUCCUACCGAUUGAAUGAUCCGAUGAAUAUCAUGGAUUGAGGAUGCAAGUAGGUUCACCUAUCUUCAUCUUCGAGAAGUGAAGUAAAUCUUAUCAUUUAGAGGAAGGAGAAGUCGUAACA